UGCAGAGUGGUGUAGUGAUUUGAGCACUGGACUACAAUUCUGGAUACCAGGGUUUGAAUCCCUGCUCUGCUA
Molecule: non-coding RNA, 72 nt
Organism: Phrynosoma platyrhinos (Desert horned lizard)
Lineage: Eukaryota; Metazoa; Chordata; Lepidosauria; Squamata; Phrynosomatidae
Source: the annotation of a GenBank genome assembly